AUUGAACGCUGGCGGCAGGCCUAACACAUGCAAGUCGAGCGGAUGAAGGGAGCUUGCUCCUGGAUUCAGCGGCGGACGGGUGAGUAAUGCCUAGGAAUCUGCCUGGUGUGGGGGAUAACGUCCGGAAACGGGCGCUAUACCGCAUACGUCCUGAGGGAGAAAGUGGGGGAUCUUCGGACCUCACGCUAUCAGAUGAGCCUAGGUCGGAUUAGCUAGUUGGUGGGGUAAAGGCCUACCAAGGCGACGAUCCGUAACUGGUCUGAGAGGAUGAUCAGUCACACUGGAACUGAGACACGGUCCAGACUCCUACGGGAGGCAGCAGUGGGGAAUAUUGGACAAUGGGCGAAAGCCUGAUCCAGCCAUGCCGCGUGUGUGAAGAAGGUCUUCGGAUUGUAAAGCACUUUAAGUUGGGAGGAAGGGCAGUAAGUUAAUACCUUGCUGUUUUGACGUUACCAACAGAAUAAGCACCGGCUAACUUCGUG
Molecule: ribosomal RNA, 482 nt
Filed under: uncultured bacterium
Lineage: Bacteria
Description: partial 16S ribosomal RNA
Rfam family: Bacterial small subunit ribosomal RNA
Source: RNAcentral